Molecule: ribosomal RNA, 492 nt
Filed under: uncultured bacterium
Lineage: Bacteria
Description: partial 16S ribosomal RNA
Rfam family: Bacterial small subunit ribosomal RNA
Source: RNAcentral
AGUGAACGCUGGCGGUAGGCCUAACACAUGCAAGUCGAACGGCAGCACAGUAAGAGCUUGCCCUUACGGGUGGCGAGUGGCGGACGGGUGAGGAAUACAUCGGAAUCUACUUUUUCGUGGGGGAUAACGUAGGGAAACUUACGCUAAUACCGCAUACGACCUACGGGUGAAAGCAGUGGAUCUUCGGACCUUGCGCGACUGAAUUAGCCGAUGUCGGAUUAGCUAGUUGGCGGGGUAAAGGCCCACCAAGGCGACGAUGCGUAGCUGGUCUGAGAGGAUGAUCAGCCACACUGGAACUGAGACACGGUCCAGACUCCUACGGGAGGCAGCAGUGGGGAAUAUUCGACAAUGGGCGAAAGCCUGAUCCAGCCACACCGCGUGAGUGAAGAAGGUCUUCGGGUUGUAAAGCCCUUUUGUUGGGAAAGAAAAGCAGUAGGUUAAUCCCCCGCUGUUCUGACGGUACCCAAAGAAUAAGCACCGGCUAACUUCGUG